GCAUGUCAGGGCAAGCUGGCGGUGGCAUCUGCUGCUCUAUUGAUUGUCAGGGUUUGUUCAAAAGCUCUGGCCAGCUGAGUGGGUGUCUCCUUUCUCCUCACCUAUCUACAUGUGUUCCCUUAAGGCUAUGCCCCAGCCAAGACACAGGAGAUCUGAAAUAAAAGUACCACCAUUCUUCAUUGCCAGGACAUUACCAGCAACUUUCCUGCUAUCCUAACACUGGCAGGACCAGACAGAGGUCAGUUUAGGGAGGGUAGAAGGAACUAGGAUGUGGGGAAUAACAUCAGAUAAUGAAAUGCUAUCCACUAAAAGGAGCAGCCUGUUCCUUUUC
Molecule: unclassified non-coding RNA, 331 nt
Organism: Myotis lucifugus (little brown bat)
Lineage: Eukaryota; Metazoa; Chordata; Mammalia; Chiroptera; Vespertilionidae
Gene: 7SK
Rfam family: 7SK RNA
About the family: 7SK was discovered as an abundant small nuclear RNA in the mid-70s but a possible function has only recently been suggested. Two independent studies have found that 7SK RNA binds the CDK9/cyclin T complex (known as elongation factor P-TEFb). P-TEFb activates transcription by phosphorylating the C-terminal domain of RNA polymerase II.
Source: Ensembl